UGGCCUUUAUUAAGCGGGCCGAGUGAAGCGGCAAAAGCUCAAUUUGAAAUCUGGCUCUUUCAGAGUCCGAGUUGUAAUUUGAAGAAGGUAUCUUUGGGUCUGGCUCUUGUCUAUGUUUCUUGGAACAGAACGUCACAGAGGGUGAGAAUCCCGUGCGAUGAGAUGAUCCAGGCCUAUGUAAAGUUCCUUCGAAGAGUCGAGUUGUUUGGGAAUGCAGCUCUAAGUGGGUGGUAAAUUCCAUCUAAAGCUAAAUAUUGGCGAGAGACCGAUAGCGAACAAGUACAGUGAUGGAAAGAUGAAAAGAACUUUGAAAAGAGAGUGAAAAAGUACGUGAAAUUGUUGAAAGGGAAGGGCUUGAGAUCAGACUUGGUAUUUUGUAUGUUACUUCUUCGGGGGUGGCCUCUACAGUUUAUCGGGCCAGCAUCAGUUUGGGCGGUAGGAGAAUUGCGUUGGAAUGUGGCACGGCUUCGGUUGUGUGUUAUAGCCUUCGUCGAUACUGCCAGCC
This 505-nucleotide ribosomal RNA is filed under the name Candida tropicalis. RNAcentral's name for it is "eukaryotic LSU rRNA". It matches the Rfam family "Eukaryotic large subunit ribosomal RNA", at positions 73 to 583 of the family's 3401-position model. Lineage: Eukaryota; Fungi; Ascomycota; Pichiomycetes; Serinales; Debaryomycetaceae. The record is from RNAcentral.